Molecule: RNA transcript, 1928 nt
Organism: Sesamum indicum (sesame)
Lineage: Eukaryota; Viridiplantae; Streptophyta; Magnoliopsida; Lamiales; Pedaliaceae
Gene name: Transducin/WD40 repeat-like superfamily protein
Source: RefSeq, a predicted model, not a curated record
CCUGGCUUCACAAAAAUUGCUCUGGCAUAAGCACCAAACUUAUAACAAAGGCAGCGCCGACCGUUGGCUGGCAUGUUUGCUUUUCAAACCACCGAAUUUGCAGCGAUCCCUCCCUUCGAUUUUGCUUUGCCGUCGCGCAAUUUAUACCAUAAAGGAAACAGCAAUUCUUCACUCUUCAGUGUGUUGUCCCCCAAAGUUCAACUAUGCCCAAAGAUCUCCCAGGAUUUUAUUAUGACGCAGAGAAGAAUAGGUACUUUCCGUACAAAGGGCCUGUUCCGGGUUCUUCUCUUAGACCUCUUUCAAUACCGUCGCCCUCACACCCCAAACAGGAUGAUGGCUUAUAUCAAAGCAUAAGAAUAAGACAGCAAGAGCUGCUUCAGGCUCGGGAGUUGUUUGGUAAUGUGAUAUCUUCCCGCAAAAGGAAAUUGAGCUUUCGAGCUGAAUACGAAAAGAGACAUGCAUCGCAACCUUCAAUAUGGAAAUAUAGAGGGACCAAAAAGAUGGCCAAUAUUGCAUUGGAACAUGUGGUUGCUGACAUAACCACGCGACAUGGUUUAGAGGAAAGAGAUAUAUUGUUGAGUGGUGGUGUGAAUGGGUUACUGUGUCUCUUUCAAGUUGGAAAGACUCGGCAAGAAGUAGACCCAAUGCAAAACUACAAGGUAGAUCAUGUAUGGCCACUCAAUGUACAUCAAAAACCCAGGGAAAAGAAGUUAUUAAGAGAACUCGGGAGUUCUUAUGGAGCGACGACAUAUAUGGCAUCUGAUGUAUCUUGUAUAAAGGUGUCGAGGAAGAGUCCUCUACCAGCUAAUGAUGCCAUGUCAAAUUAUUUUUUGAUAACAACGCUGGGGUCUGACAGUGCUCCUGGAUCUGUCUACCUUUUGGACUUCACCAAACCACUUGAUUUUGACGCUAGUGUUCCCAUAGCUAGGGAUCGGUUUCAUGAGGUUGCUGCAUUUAAACAGACACUUUGGACAGCCGACUGCGACCCUGAAGGGAAGCAUGCUGCGAUUGGAACAAAUAGAGGAGUUGUGCUGCUCAAUAUGGAAACUAGAGUAUCGUCAUGGGUGCUUCAUUCUAAAAGUGAUGUGUUGUCUGUGCAGCUUGAUCAGUCUGGGACUUCCAUAAUUUGUGGGCUGAGAAAUGGAGCAAUCAUGACUAUUGAUACUCGCCAAAGACAAAUAAAAAGGGGCGGGCAUAGCUCUUCAGCAGUAUCAAUGCCUUCCUCUAUUUGCUGUUUGGCAUCACUUAAGCUUUGGGAUCAGUACUUCGUGGCUAGCUCUAUGGAUGGAUCGAUCAAGCUCUAUGAUCAUCGUCUGACCCAGAGAGGCCCAGUUCAAUCUUACGAAGGCAAUGUAAAUUCUCAUACUCGAAUAGAAAUUGGAAUUGACCCAUCAGAGAAAGUUGUCAUGUCAGUUGUCAGGUGGAGAGGACUUCUAUAUUCGUCUCUGGAAUAUCAAGUCUGGUGAACUGCUCUUCAAGGAUAGAUUUAUGAAUUCAAUUCCCUCAGCUGUGUGCUGGCCAAGGGUUGGAGGGCUUUUGGAAUUGACAAAAGAUGGCCAAGAUCACAGAUGUUACUGGCAGGACCAUAGUUUCGGUGCAUGGCUUGGUUCAUACGAGGGGGUCUUCUAUAUGGACUGGCUAUGAUAAUAAGUGCAAUUUUGUUUUCUCUUCAACAAAUGCUGCAAAGUGGUCUAUUUGGUGGACACAAUACGUUGACAUCUGCUAUCCGAGUGAGCUUGCUGUUUCACCAUCCCUGCAGCACCGCAGGUGGAGGAAUGGAUGGGAUAGGAUAGUUGGAUUUUCGUCACCUGUAUUGUUAAAUAUAUGAAAUAGUAGAUGCAUUCAGGAAUUUACACUAGACUUGCUAUAUUCACUGAAAGAUGGUUGCAUUAAAAUCUCUGUAUGCAUAAUCUGUUUUGUUUUGGUAA